Molecule: ribosomal RNA, 161 nt
Filed under: uncultured bacterium
Lineage: Bacteria
Description: partial 16S ribosomal RNA
Rfam family: Bacterial small subunit ribosomal RNA
Source: RNAcentral
UGGGGAAUUUUGGACCAUGGGGGAAACCCUGACCCAGCGACGCCGCGUGCGGGAGGAAGCCCUUCGGGGUGUAAACCGCUGUCAGGGGGGACGAAAGAGGGGAGAGCUAAUACCUCUUCUCAGUGACGGUACCCUCAAAGGAAGCACCGGCUAACUCUGUG